RNAcentral lists this ribosomal RNA (471 nucleotides) under Bambusiphaga maculata. Its description in RNAcentral is "partial 16S ribosomal RNA". Lineage: Eukaryota; Metazoa; Arthropoda; Insecta; Hemiptera; Delphacidae. The record is from RNAcentral.
UUUAAAUAGCUGCAGUAAUUUAACUGUACAAAGGUAGCAUAAUAAUUAGUCUUUUAAUUGAGGUCUAGAAUGAAUGGUUUAACAAGAGAAAAACUUUAUUAAUUUAAUUAAAUUUUAAUUUAAUUUUUUAGUUAAAAAGCUAAAAUUUUUAAGUGGGACGAUAAGACCCUAUAGAUCUUUAAUUUUUAAAAUUAUUUUUUAUUUGGGUAAUUAUUAAUUAUAAUGUGAAAAAAAAUUUUGGUUGGGGUGACAUUAAAAUUUUUAAAACUUUUAAUUAUUUUAUCAUAAAUUAAAUGAAUAUUUGAUCUAAAAUUUUUGAUUAAAAGAUUAAGAUACCUUAGGGAUAACAGCGUAAUAAAUUUGGAUAGUUCAUAUUAAUAAAUUUUGUUUACGACCUCGAUGUUGAAUUAAUUUAAAAUUUUGAAGCAGAAAUUAAAUUUUUUAGGUCUGUUCGACCUUUAAUUAAUUACA